This 71-nucleotide transfer RNA is filed under the name Cavia porcellus (domestic guinea pig). It matches the Rfam family "tRNA". Rfam says of the family: Transfer RNA (tRNA) molecules are approximately 80 nucleotides in length. Their secondary structure includes four short double-helical elements and three loops (D, anti-codon, and T loops). Further hydrogen bonds mediate the characteristic L-shaped molecular structure. tRNAs have two regions of fundamental functional importance: the anti-codon, which is responsible for specific mRNA codon recognition, and the 3' end, to which the tRNAs corresponding amino acid is attached (by aminoacyl-tRNA synthetases). tRNAs cope with the degeneracy of the genetic code in two manners: having more than one tRNA (with a specific anti-codon) for a particular amino acid; and 'wobble' base-pairing, i.e. permitting non-standard base-pairing at the 3rd anti-codon position. Lineage: Eukaryota; Metazoa; Chordata; Mammalia; Rodentia; Caviidae. The record is from Rfam by way of RNAcentral.
CAGGAUUUAGCUCAGCGGCAUAAGCACCUGCCUUGCAAGCAGGCAGUUGUGAGUUCAAUCCCCAGUACUGA